RNAcentral lists this ribosomal RNA (498 nucleotides) under uncultured bacterium. RNAcentral describes it as "partial 16S ribosomal RNA". It matches the Rfam family "Bacterial small subunit ribosomal RNA", at positions 29 to 523 of the family's 1533-position model. The record is from RNAcentral.
AUUGAACGCUGGCGGCAUGCCUUACACAUGCAAGUCGAACGGUAACAGCUCUUCGGAGGCCGACGAGUGGCGAACGGGUGAGUAAUACAUCGGAACGUGCCCGAUCGUGGGGGAUAACGGAGCGAAAGCUUUGCUAAUACCGCAUACGAUCUACGGAUGAAAGCAGGGGACCCUCGGGCCUUGCGCGAACGGAGCGGCCGCUGGCAGAUUAGGUAGGUGGUGGGAUAAAAGCUUACCAAGCCGACGAUCUGUAGCUGGUCUGAGAGGACGACCAGCCAAACGGGGACGGAGAAACGGCCCAGACUCCUACGGGAGGCAGCAGUGGGGAAUUUUGGACAAUGGGCGAAAGCCUGAUCCAGCAAUGCCGCGUGCAGGAUGAAGGCCUUCGGGUUGUAAACUGCUUUUGUACGGAACGAAAAGUCUCGGGCUAAUACCCUGGGACCAUGACGGUACCGUAAGAAUAAGCACCGGCUAACUACGUGCCAGCAGCCGCCGUAA